This is a non-coding RNA of Cinara cedri, 203 nucleotides long. The record is from the annotation of a GenBank genome assembly. Lineage: Eukaryota; Metazoa; Arthropoda; Insecta; Hemiptera; Aphididae.
CCAUAACAGAAGUGAUAAAAAAAACGAAGCCUCUAAUGGGCAGGCCACGCUUGGAGGAGCCAAAAUGAGCUAAUUAGAGCAGUAUUAGAACAAAACCCGCGAGGAAAAAGACCGCUGGGAAGACCCAAAACAAGAUGGGAAGACGUAGUUAAAAAGGAUGUACAAUCACUAGGAGGAGGAACGAAUUGGAAAGAAAGAGCAAU